AUGGUAGUCUUAGCACUUGUACAAGAUGAAGUAUCGAGAGGGACCUCAAGACACGGUCAAGAUCUAACUCCACGGGCACCUGUACGACCAAUAAGCCUAGGACAGCCUGUGAAGCUGUCGAGAGACACAUUGCCAACACCACCGAAGCCACCCUCUUUGAAGUACCUUCCCAUACCCUCUUCUGCCGUCGCCUACCAGGAUUAUGUGACUGGUAAAACCGUUGUCACCAUUGUUGCCAAAGCCCCCGCCGGCAGGGAGGCCUGGAUUGCCCCUCAUGCUUUCCAUGCCCACGAAAAGGCUCUUCUCUUCUGCCACGUCACCAAGUGUAGCUGGCACGAUCCUGUUCGCCGCCACGGCAUGCACCGCCAGCACGAGACAAAAGCAGGAGUAGGAAUGUUACAAUGUCAGAGCACUUCUUGA
RNAcentral lists this ribosomal RNA (420 nucleotides) under Triticum aestivum (bread wheat). RNAcentral describes it as "partial small subunit ribosomal RNA". The record is from RNAcentral. Lineage: Eukaryota; Viridiplantae; Streptophyta; Magnoliopsida; Poales; Poaceae.